GACGCGGUGGCGCAGUGGUUUAGCGCGACGGCAUUGCAGAAAUAGAGGAAGGGGCCCGGGUUCAAGUCCCGGGCAGUGUCA
Non-coding RNA from Aphanomyces invadans, 81 nucleotides. The record is from Rfam. NCBI's taxonomy places the organism in Eukaryota, Oomycota, Saprolegniomycetes, Saprolegniales, Verrucalvaceae.